GCAGGAGUCAGCCUGUUUCUGUAGUGAGGCAGGAUGCUAGUCUAUCUCCUGUUUCUGUAGUGUGAGGCAGGACACUAGUCAAUCUCCUGUUUCUGUAGUGUGAGGCAGGACACUAGUCAAUCUCCUGUUUCUGUAGUGUGAGGCAGGACACUAGUCAAUCUCCUGUUUCUGUAGUGUGAGGCAGGACACUAGUCAAUCUCCUGUUUCUGUAGUGUGAGGCAGGACGCUAGUCUAUCGCCUGUUUCUGUAGUGUGAGGCAGGAUGCUAGUCUAUCUCCUGUUUCUGUAGUGUGAGGCAGGACGCUAGUCUAUCGCCUGUUUCUGUAGUGAGGCAGGAUGCUAGUCUAUCUCCUGUUUCUGUAGUGUGAGGCAGGACACUAGUCAAUCUCCUGUUUCUGUAGUGUGAGGCAGGACACUAGUCAAUCUCCUGUUUCUGUAGUGUGAGGCAGGACGCUAGUCUAUCGCCUGUUUCUGUAGUGAGGCAGGACGCUAGUCUAUCUCCUGUUUCUGUAGUGUGAGGCAGGACGCUAGUCUAUCUCCUGUUUCUGUAGUGUGAGGCAGGACGCUAGUCUAUCUCCUGUUUCUGUAGUGAGAGGCAGGACAGGACGCUAGUCUAUCUCCUGUUUCUGUAGUGUGAGGCAGGACGCUAGUCUAUCUCCUGUUUCUGUAGUGUGAGGCAGGACGCUAGUCUAUCUCCUGUUUCUGUAGUGUGAGGCAGGACGCUAGUCUA
Oncorhynchus tshawytscha (Chinook salmon) is the source of this 729-nucleotide long non-coding RNA. The record is from Ensembl. Lineage: Eukaryota; Metazoa; Chordata; Actinopteri; Salmoniformes; Salmonidae.